Molecule: ribosomal RNA, 531 nt
Filed under: Oeneis jutta
Lineage: Eukaryota; Metazoa; Arthropoda; Insecta; Lepidoptera; Nymphalidae
Also listed under: 1 other name
Description: partial 16S rRNA
Source: RNAcentral
CUCAGAUCAUGUAAGAUUUUAAUGAUCGAACAGAUCAAAAUUUUAAACUUUUGCAUUUAAAUUUUAUCUUAAUCCAACAUCGAGGUCGCAAACUUUUUUUUUUAUUUGAGCUAAAAAAAAAUAUUACGCUGUUAUCCCUAAGGUAAUUUUUUCUUAUAAUCAUUAUUAAUGGAUCAUUUAAUCAUUUAUUUAUGUUUAAUUUUUAAAAAAAGUUAAUUUAAUUUUUCUAUCACCCCAAUAUAAUAAUUAAUUUUAUUUUAAUAAAAAUUUUUAUAUAAUUUUAAAAUAAAAAUAAAUAUAAAACUCUAUAGGGUCUUCUCGUCUUUUAAAAUUAAUUUAGCUUUUUAACUAAAAAAUAAACUUCUAAAAAUAAAUAAGAGACAGUUUAUAUUUCAUCAAAUCUUUCAUACAAGUUUUCAAUUAAAAAACUAUUGAUUAUGCUACCUUUGUACAGUCAUUAUACUGCAGCCCUUUAAUUAUUAUCAGUGGGCAGAUUAGACCUUAAAUUAUAUUCAAAAAGACAUGUUUUUG